AAGAGAGAAGCUCGAAUGUACAGCGAAUAUCCCAUAUAAACCCAACUUUAACGCGGUGCACGGUUUACACCACUGAGGGUACGGAUUAAAAAAUUGAGGGCACGGAUUACAAAUCUGAGGGUACGGUUUAAAAAAUUGAGGGCAGAAUUCGAAUUCGGUGUUCGAUGGAGUAGGACGCGAACUUGGAGUCUCCUGCUGAUUUCGAUUAAAAUUGUAAUUAAUUAGCGCUUUUUGGUCAUAUAAUAUAUUUUGAUUUAUUCUACUUCGUUUCCUUAUUUGCACUUUUAACUUUGUGGCACGUUAAGAUGUCUGGAAAGAACACGAAAACCCGUGGUAGCAUUCAGACACGACUGAGACCUAGUGUGCGCUCCAUGAGCGAGUCCCCUUCUCCCCUGAAUCCGCGUCCCCGAGCAGUGACCCUGACUUCGCCGCACUCAGGCUUGAGUUGCUGGCUUCACUGAGGAAGGACAUUGCCGAUAUUUUUAAAAAGGAGUUUCAGGCGAUGUUCAGGGAUGCGCUGUCUACUAUCCAGCUUGACCUGCAGGCCGUGAAAACACAGCAGGCUGGUGAUAAAGUCGCUACCGAGGCUACCAUAUCAACACUGAAAGGUACUGUUGGGGAAAUGCAGCACGCGAUCUCCGGUUGCACCGAUGACAUAGUUCAUAUGAAGACUACUAUCGAGUCCCUCACUGCGACCGUGACUCAAUUAGAGAAUAAACGUGAGGAUUUGGAGUUGAGGUCAUGGCGCAAUAACGUUAGGAUAGUCGGAGUUCCAGAGGGCGCCGACACCUGUACAACUGCUGCUGUAGCGGCCUUGUUAAAGGAGGCGUUUGGUCUGGAGAAGGAGCCGGUUUUGGACCGGUCCCACUGGACCCUUCAGACGAAGCCCAAGCCUGGUGAACGACCACGAGCUAUUGUGUGCAGAUUCCACUAUCACAGUGACUGUGUUGAUAUUUUACGCCGUGCGAGAGAGCUCCAGCAGAUUAAAACGAGGGAUUUGACCAUCUCCGUUUUCCCUGACUACACAGCCAAGACAGACCGGGCCCGGGCAGCGUUUAACGAGGUUCGGCGUCAACUUCGUCGUAUUGAGGGAGCUCGCUAUGGAAUACUUCACCCAGCUCGGCUUCACAUUACAUAUAACGGUGUUCAGAAGGACUUUAUUUCAGCGGAGGAAGCAGGAGACUACGUUAAACUCUUGAUAUCGGGGUGAACUGCAUCACCUAUAUAAUGGAGUUUUUUUCACUUUUGUUUUGUUUUUUUGUGUUUUUUUCUUCUUCUCAAUGAAAUAUUUGGGAAAGGGAAGGGAGGAGAGAAGAAAAAAGGGUCGAGGGGAACCUGGAGCCUAUCCCAGGCAGCAUGGGGCACAAGGCGGGGUACACCCUGGACAGGGUGCUAAUCCAUCACAGUUAAUCACAUACACAUUCACACACCCAUUCAUUCACUACAGACACUUUGGACAUGCCAAUCAGCCUACCCUGCAUGUCUUUGGACUGGGAGAGGGAACUGGAGUACCUGGAGGAAACACCUGCAGCAUGGGGAGAACCCUGGAGGUGUGAGGCAAAGUGCUAACCACUAGCUAGUUGAACUCUGUAACUCUAGCUGAACUGUUCUGUACAGGUCAGGUAAGUCCUGGGGGCGGAGCUUUGUGAACACAUGGGUAAUUGGGGAGAAGGUCCUCGGUGUGUUGGACUUCAGCUGUGACUGGAUGUAACCGAUCGGCGAGAGUUUCCGCACAACACAACUGAACACAGCUCCUGGCUACAGCCUGCAGAAUGGGGCGGGGCUAAACAUGUGUCGCUCCGACCAUAACCGCUCUCAUUGGUUAGUGGCGAUGUAAUGACGUCGACUCCUCAGAAUGUUCUCAUUGGACUCUAUGCACAGUCACUUCCGCUUUCAGUCUCAGUGGCUAGCGCAACUUUCAUUGCUGCACCGGAAGUGAUUUUUGCUUUCCGUUUCAAUGGGCGCUGUCAGCGUGGCUUUUUACACUCACUGCUUGUAAGAUCUUCCACGGAUUAUUGUGAACGAUGACAAUCGCAUUAUGAUGUUAGCAUCUGUCUUUCCCUUAUUUAUUAUAUAUUAUAAUAAUAUAUUAACCUUAUUU
Molecule: RNA transcript, 2101 nt
Organism: Ictalurus furcatus (blue catfish)
Lineage: Eukaryota; Metazoa; Chordata; Actinopteri; Siluriformes; Ictaluridae
Exons: 2
Source: RefSeq, a predicted model, not a curated record